RNAcentral lists this ribosomal RNA (549 nucleotides) under Salmonella enterica subsp. enterica serovar Derby. RNAcentral's name for it is "partial 23S ribosomal RNA". It matches the Rfam family "Bacterial large subunit ribosomal RNA", at positions 2254 to 2802 of the family's 2925-position model. The record is from RNAcentral. RNAcentral also lists the same sequence under 18 other names. Lineage: Bacteria; Pseudomonadati; Pseudomonadota; Gammaproteobacteria; Enterobacterales; Enterobacteriaceae.
GUGUCUGGUGGGUAGUUUGACUGGGGCGGUCUCCUCCUAAAGAGUAACGGAGGAGCACGAAGGUUGGCUAAUCCUGGUCGGACAUCAGGAGGUUAGUGCAAUGGCAUAAGCCAGCUUGACUGCGAGCGUGACGGCGCGAGCAGGUGCGAAAGCAGGUCAUAGUGAUCCGGUGGUUCUGAAUGGAAGGGCCAUCGCUCAACGGAUAAAAGGUACUCCGGGGAUAACAGGCUGAUACCGCCCAAGAGUUCAUAUCGACGGCGGUGUUUGGCACCUCGAUGUCGGCUCAUCACAUCCUGGGGCUGAAGUAGGUCCCAAGGGUAUGGCUGUUCGCCAUUUAAAGUGGUACGCGAGCUGGGUUUAGAACGUCGUGAGACAGUUCGGUCCCUAUCUGCCGUGGGCGCUGGAGAACUGAGGGGGGCUGCUCCUAGUACGAGAGGACCGGAGUGGACGCAUCACUGGUGUUCGGGUUGUCAUGCCAAUGGCACUGCCCGGUAGCUAAAUGCGGAAGAGAUAAGUGCUGAAAGCAUCUAAGCACGAAACUUGCCCCGA